RNAcentral lists this ribosomal RNA (1410 nucleotides) under metagenome. RNAcentral's name for it is "bacterial SSU rRNA". It matches the Rfam family "Bacterial small subunit ribosomal RNA". The record is from RNAcentral.
UGCUCAGGAUGAACGCUGGCGGCGUGCUUAACACAUGCAAGUCGAACGAACCUUCGGGUUAGUGGCGGACGGGUGAGUAACGCGUGAGAAUCUGCCCUCAGGAGGGGGAUAACGGCUGGAAACGGCCGCUAAUACCCCAUAUGCCGAGAGGUGAAAUGAAUUUCGCCUGAGGAUGAGCUCGCGUCUGAUUAGCUAGUUGGUGGGGUAAGAGCCUACCAAGGCUUCGAUCAGUAGCUGGUCUGAGAGGAUGAUCAGCCACACUGGGACUGAGACACGGCCCAGACUCCUACGGGAGGCAGCAGUGGGGAAUUUUCCGCAAUGGGCGAAAGCCUGGCGGAGCAACGCCGCGUGAGGGAUGAAGGCCUCUGGGCUGUAAACCUCUUUUCUCAAGGAAGAAGAUCUGACGGUACUUGAGGAAUAAGCCACGGCUAAUUCCGUGCCAGCAGCCGCGGUAAUACGGGAGUGGCAAGCGUUAUCCGGAAUUAUUGGGCGUAAAGCGUCCGCAGGCGGCCUUGAAAGUCUGCUGUUAAAGCGUGGAGCUUAACUCCAUUUCAGCAGUGGAAACUACAAGGCUAGAGUGUGUAGGGGCAGAGGGAAUUCCCGGUGUAGCGGUGAAAUGCGUAGAUAUCUGGAAGAACACCAGUGGCGAAGGCGCUCUGCUGGGCCAUAACUGACGCUCAUGGACGAAAGCCAGGGGAGCGAAAGGGAUUAGAUACCCCUGUAGUCCUGGCCGUAAACGAUGAACACUAGGUGUCGGGGGAAUCGACCCCUCCGGUGUCGUAGCCAACGCGUUAAGUGUUCCGCCUGGGGAGUACGCACGCAAGUGUGAAACUCAAAGGAAUUGACGGGGGCCCGCACAAGCGGUGGAGUAUGUGGUUUAAUUCGAUGCAACGCGAAGAACCUUACCAGGGUUUGACAUCCUGCGAAUCCCUUGGAAACGAGGGAGUGCCUUCGGGAGCGCAGUGACAGGUGGUGCAUGGCUGUCGUCAGCUCGUGUCGUGAGAUGUUGGGUUAAGUCCCGCAACGAGCGCAACCCACGUCUUUAGUUGCCAGCAUUCAGUUGGGCACUCUAGAGAGACCGCCGGUGAUAAACCGGAGGAAGGUGUGGAUGACGUCAAGUCAUCAUGCCCCUUACAUCCUGGGCUACACACGUACUACAAUGCUACGGACAAAGGGCAGCAAACUCGCGAGAGCUAGCAAAUCCCAUAAACCGUGGCUCAGUUCAGAUCGUAGGCUGCAACUCGCCUACGUGAAGGAGGAAUCGCUAGUAAUCGCAGGUCAGCAUACUGCGGUGAAUACGUUCCCGGGCCUUGUACACACCGCCCGUCACACCAUGGAAGUUUGCCACGCCCGAAGUCGUUACUCCAACCCGCAAGGGAGGAGGAUGCCGAAGGUGGGGCUGAUGACUGG